RNAcentral lists this ribosomal RNA (1384 nucleotides) under Bacillus cereus G9241. RNAcentral's name for it is "bacterial LSU rRNA". It matches the Rfam family "Bacterial large subunit ribosomal RNA", at positions 1514 to 2925 of the family's 2925-position model. Lineage: Bacteria; Bacillati; Bacillota; Bacilli; Caryophanales; Bacillaceae. The record is from RNAcentral.
AUGUGUUUAAAGUUUCUUUUACUCGUAAUAAAAAAGAAAAACAUAAUAUUACGCCCCUUUGUCCAAUCCUUUUCAGUUACAUAUAUGCUGUAAAUAUAAAAAAGAGAACAAGGGAUUAAUAUCGUAAGUAGUGGAUAUCGAGGAGAGAAUCCUAAGGUGUGCGAGAGAACUCUGGUUAAGGAACUCGGCAAAAUGACCCCGUAACUUCGGGAGAAGGGGUGCUUUCUUAACGGAAAGCCGCAGUGAAUAGGCCCAAGCGACUGUUUAGCAAAAACACAGCUCUCUGCGAAGCCGUAAGGCGAAGUAUAGGGGGUGACACCUGCCCGGUGCUGGAAGGUUAAGGAGAGGGGUUAGCGUAAGCGAAGCUCUGAACUGAAGCCCCAGUAAACGGCGGCCGUAACUAUAACGGUCCUAAGGUAGCGAAAUUCCUUGUCGGGUAAGUUCCGACCCGCACGAAAGGUGUAACGAUUUGGGCACUGUCUCAACCAGAGACUCGGUGAAAUUAUAGUACCUGUGAAGAUGCAGGUUACCCGCGACAGGACGGAAAGACCCCGUGGAGCUUUACUGUAGCCUGAUAUUGAAUUUUGGUACAGUUUGUACAGGAUAGGCGGGAGCCUUUGAAACCGGAGCGCUAGCUUCGGUGGAGGCGCUGGUGGGAUACCGCCCUGACUGUAUUGAAAUUCUAACCUACGGGUCUUAUCGACCCGGGAGACAGUGUCAGGUGGGCAGUUUGACUGGGGCGGUCGCCUCCUAAAGUGUAACGGAGGCGCCCAAAGGUUCCCUCAGAAUGGUUGGAAAUCAUUCGUAGAGUGCAAAGGCAUAAGGGAGCUUGACUGCGAGACCUACAAGUCGAGCAGGGACGAAAGUCGGGCUUAGUGAUCCGGUGGUUCCGCAUGGAAGGGCCAUCGCUCAACGGAUAAAAGCUACCCCGGGGAUAACAGGCUUAUCUCCCCCAAGAGUCCACAUCGACGGGGAGGUUUGGCACCUCGAUGUCGGCUCAUCGCAUCCUGGGGCUGUAGUCGGUCCCAAGGGUUGGGCUGUUCGCCCAUUAAAGCGGUACGCGAGCUGGGUUCAGAACGUCGUGAGACAGUUCGGUCCCUAUCCGUCGUGGGCGUAGGAAAUUUGAGAGGAGCUGUCCUUAGUACGAGAGGACCGGGAUGGACGCACCGCUGGUGUACCAGUUGUUCUGCCAAGGGCAUAGCUGGGUAGCUAUGUGCGGAAGGGAUAAGUGCUGAAAGCAUCUAAGCAUGAAGCCCCCCUCAAGAUGAGAUUUCCCAUAGCGUAAGCUAGUAAGAUCCCUGAAAGAUGAUCAGGUUGAUAGGUUCGAGGUGGAAGCAUGGUGACAUGUGGAGCUGACGAAUACUAAUAGAUCGAGGACUUAACC